AUGGGGGGUCACCUGAGGCCAGGGAAAAGGGGGAGAGCUUUUGAUAGAGGCGGCCUCGUUCUCAAUCUCUCCGGGUGGGUGGUGGCCUCUAGGAAGGAACUAACAUUACGAAAAGUUAAUGUUUUCCAACUUUUGGGUCAUCGGCACCCUCAUGUGCCGUGGCACAUCUCUGGGCAUUUGAGCCCCCUUCCCCUCCCCAGAAAAUAUACAUUCCAUGGCGGGAAGCGGUUUGGCGUUGGGGGAGAGAGAGUCCAAAGCCGGAGGGGGGAAUGUUCUGGGUUUUUGGUUUGUUUUCCCAGAAGAACAUUCUUGGGCGAGCCCGCCAGGGCGCAUGGAUCACAGAACUGCUAUUUCAGAGUGCCAAACGGGGGGGAGGGGGAGAGAAGGGGAGGCGGGGCAGGGGGAAUCUGUCCGCUCCUGAAGCUGUCAGGAAAAUUAACCAAAUUGUACUGUUGCCAUACGCUCCUCCCUUCUCCGAUAGGAGGCGUACUGCUGCCCAAGGCUGUUUGGGCCACGAGGGGCCCAUCGUUUCCCCCUGUUUAUUCAUUUAUUCAUCUCUUUCUCUUUUUCUCUCUGAACCGAGCUGUUAAUAAGGUGCUGAUGUCACAUGAUUUUGCUUUUGGUAUAUGGUAUAUCCUUCCUUCCUUUCUUUCUUUGUACUUUCUCAUUUCUUUCACUAUUAGCGCCUUCCUUCCUUCCAGCCUUUCAUCCAUCCAUCAUCAGCUCCUUCCUUCCCUCCUUCAUUUGAUCCAUCCAUCCAUCAUCAGCUCCUCCCUUCUCUCCUUCCUUUCAUCCAUCCAUCCAUCAUCAGCUCCUUCCUUCCCUCCUCCCUUUCAUCCAUCCAUUCAUCAUCAGCUGCUCCCUCCCUUCCUUGUUUUCCCGUUCUUCUUCCCACCCUCCCUCCCUUCCUUGUUUUCCCCUGUCCUUCCUUCCUUCCUUUCCCCGUUUUUCCUGCCUUCCUUCCAGAGAGGUUCUGGAGAGCUGAGGAUGGCAGGAAAAAGUGCCUGGGUGUUACAGAGUCAUACCCACAAGGGAUGUGUGAUUAUAACUUUCUUCCCCGCCAUGGUCUCAGAUCAGACUGUCUCCUGA
This 1089-nucleotide long non-coding RNA is filed under the name Pogona vitticeps (central bearded dragon). Its description in RNAcentral is "lncRNA (ENSPVIG00000023087.1)". The record is from RNAcentral. Lineage: Eukaryota; Metazoa; Chordata; Lepidosauria; Squamata; Agamidae.